Amblyraja radiata (thorny skate) is the source of this 93-nucleotide long non-coding RNA. RefSeq lists it as uncharacterized. The transcript is spliced from 3 exons. NCBI's taxonomy places the organism in Eukaryota, Metazoa, Chordata, Chondrichthyes, Rajiformes, Rajidae. The record is from RefSeq and is a predicted model, not a curated record.
UAUCAUUAUUAGUUAAGUUGUAUCCUUAUAAGUUUAGUUUUGAAUCCUUAUUUUGCUAUAUGGUUAAGAAUAUGCGACUGAUUACUGGACUGA